This 1943-nucleotide long non-coding RNA is filed under the name Triticum aestivum (bread wheat). Its description in RNAcentral is "long non-coding RNA (TAES_LNC023757)". The record is from RNAcentral. Lineage: Eukaryota; Viridiplantae; Streptophyta; Magnoliopsida; Poales; Poaceae.
UUUGAUAUAUUUUUUUAUGUGAGCACGGUGUUGUUUUCCUUUUGCAUGAAUAUGGCAUUAGCAUUCAAACCUUAGGCUCAACAUAUACUCUCAUCUUCCUCUGCAACCACAUACCUUCAACUACUUGAAGCUGCAUACUGUUUCCAGAGGGAGAAUUGCAAGUUCCGAUCACAUUCAAACAUUAGGGGCACCUUCUCAUAGUGCCUCACACCGCAUUGUUUGGACAUGUGAAUUCCAACUGUAGAGUCAACCGCCUCGGUGCAGUGGCUAGAUAGUUUCAGGACCCAGACUUUCAAUACUUUUAUGAGAUGUUCGUGUUCACGCUGGUUGCUCGCAUAAUAUUUGUUCUUUUGACAAGUUCAUGCAGUAUACUAACCAAGUACAUAACUUGCAGACCUUUGGCCUUUACUUUAUGAUUUGAUUUGGGAAGCCGAGUUAUCUAUAUUGAACACAUUUUUUUGAAGGAUGGUUGAUACAUGUCUACACAUUUUGUCAGAGCAAUUUGCGAUGAAAGAAGCAGCCUCAAACUGAUAAGAAGGCAAUAUUUAUUUCUAUGAAGUAAUGGUUAUUGUUGUAGAUCAAGGAUGAUAAGAAGGCAACUAAUGUACUAGGAGGUACAAGUACUACAACAUACUACAUACAUUAAGUUUAUUGUUUCUCUCUCGGAAAUAUACAUAGAUCAUUUUGAGCCUUGACUAGAGCGCCAGAUUUAUGCCUGAACUUAUAACAUUGGUGCUAUAUACAUCCAUUUGAGGGACAAGCUUUUUCGGACGGUGGGAGUAACAUUUUGUAUCUCGUUGAUAAAAUUGAACUCCACAUACUGUAGUUCAUAAUUAAAAAUAUGAAAAUGACACAACAUGAUCUGAAGCGCACAUACAUUGCUUGGGAGUUAACAUACACAUAUCAGUUUGGUGUUAUCCCUUUGGUGGUCACAAUCUGAAGAUAACAUGGCAUAAACUGAACUUCACAUACUACAAUUUAUUUGGUCAGAAGUUGUACAUUUUUGUUCUACUUCAUCAGACAACAUACAAACACAAUUAUUUGUACAAUUAUUUUCAAACUUUGAAGAUCACAUCAGCUAACUUCCUAUUAGAACAAAUACAAGUUCAGAUUGGCUGAUCCUACUACAGGUUCAUGCAUGUAAGAUGUUGAAUAAAAUUUGUAGAUUUGCCUGCCAUGGUGAAAUGCUUAUUCUAUGUAUAUCUAGAUAUGUCUGCAUGAUGAUUCCUUUCAGCAUUUUAUAAAUUUGACCGCAUGUAUGAUAGAACUAUUUUAUGUGUGUUAUGGACAUAUGUCAUAAACACUCGAUUCUUAUGCUUCUCUUGGCUGCCAAUCUCCCUAUGAGAGCUUCAAAGCACUUGAGCUGACUGCACUUUCUUCCAAAUUCUUGUAGAGUAUUUUUAGGUAAUCAGCAACCUAAUACGCAUGGAUGUGAUGACUUUGAAGUGUUAUGGAGCAUUUGGAUGUCUGCAGUAUUUUGGACCAGCCAACUCAAUUGUAAUCAUGAAUCGUGUUACAGACCAUUUGCUGCUUAAGUGUUAUGUAGUAGAGAUCUUGUGCUCAUGGAUGUGACUCAAGUGUUUUGGACCAUUUAGUGUUUGAACUAUAUAUUUUAGACCAGCAAAUAGGGGCCUUUUAUGUGACUUGUGUUUUCUGGAUGGUUGCCAAGAUGGCCAAACUUUGCUUUGUGAAGAUUGACUUGUGUUUGAACCUGUGCACAAUAUAUAUAUAUAUAUAUAUGUUUGUAUUUUUGUUACCAUAUUAUCAAUGAUUGUGCAAUUUGUGUUCAUCUUGAUCCCAUUUUGUGCAUCAUCAUUGAAAAUUGCAUAUAACAUUUGAAUUAGAGCAGUAUCCAAUUGUUGUUUUGGCUGUGCACCAUCUUACCAACAAUUUAUAUGUCAGUAAAAACAUUCCAACGCGGAAAGUGUUGCCAAAAGUAUGCC